Molecule: ribosomal RNA, 722 nt
Filed under: uncultured bacterium
Lineage: Bacteria
Description: bacterial SSU rRNA
Rfam family: Bacterial small subunit ribosomal RNA
Source: RNAcentral
ACUCAGUGGCGGACGGGUGAAUCAACGUCUGAAUUCGCCUUCAGGAGGGGGACAACAGCUGGAAACGGCUCGCUAAUACCCCAUAUCGCUUUCGAGUGAAAUGAAUUCCCCUCGCCUAAAGAGAAGCUUCGCGGCUCAUUAGCUUGUUGGUGAGGUAACGGCUCACCAAGGCGACGAUCAGUAUCUGGUUUGAGAGGACGAUCAGACACACUGGAACUGAGACACGGUCCAGACUCCUGCGGGAGGCAGCAGUAGGGAAUUUUCCGCAAUGGGCUAACGCCUGACGGAGCAAUACCGCGUGAGGGAUGAAUGCCUAUGGGUUGUAAACCUCUUUUUUCAGGGAGGAACAAAUGACGUGUACCUGAAGAAUAAGCAUCGGCUAACUCCGUGCCAGCAGCCGCGGUAAGACGGAGGAUGCAAGUGUUAUCCGGAAUCACUGGGCGUAAAGCGUCUGUAGGUUGUUUAAUAAGUCAACUGUUAAAUCUUGAGGCUCAACCUCAAACUUGCAGUCGAAACUAUUAGACUAGAGUAUAGUAGGGGUAAAGGGAAUUUCCAGUGGAGCGGUGAAAUGCGUAGAUAUUGGAAAGAACACCGAUGGCGAAGGCACUUUACUGGGCUAUUACUGACACUCAGAGACGAAAGCUAGGGUAGCAAAUGGGAUUAGAUACCCCAGUAGUCCUAGCUGUAAACAAUGGAUACUAGAUGUUGAACAGAUCGACCUG